GCUUCCGCUUGAAGAUGAGCUUGCGUCUGAUUAGCUAGUUGGUGAGGGUAAAGGCCCACCAAGGCGACGAUCGGUAGCCGGUCUGAGAGGAUGAACGGCCACAUUGGGACUGAGAACGGCCCAGACUCCUACGGGAGGCAGCAGUGGGGAAUCUUCCGCAAUGGGCGAAAGCCUGACGGAGCAACGCCGCGUGAACGAUGAAGGUCUUAGGAUCGUAAAGUUCUGUUGUUAGGGACGAAGGGUAAGAAUCAUAAUAAGGUUUUUAUUUGACGGUACCUAACGAGGAAGCCACGGCUAACUACGUGCCAGCAGCCGCGGUAAUACGUAGGCGGCAAGCGUUGUCCGGAAUUAUUGGGCGUAAAGGGAGCGCAGGCGGGAAACUAAGCGGAUCUUAAAAGUGCGGGGCUCAACCCCGUGAUGGGGUCCGAACUGGUUUUCUUGAGUGCAGGAGAGGAAAGCGGAAUUCCCAGUGUAGCGGUGAAAUGCGUAGAUAUUGGGAAGAACACCAGUGGCGAAGGCGGCUUUCUGGACUGUAACUGACGCUGAGGCUCGAAAGCUAGGGUAGCGAACGGGAUUAGAUACCCCGGUAGUCCUAGCCGUAAACGAUGGAUACUAGGUGUGGGAGGUAUCGACCCCUUCCGUGCCGGAGUUAACGCAAUAAGUAUCCCGCCUGGGGAGUACGGCCGCAAGGUUGAAACUCAAAGGAAUUGACGGGGGCCCGCACAAGCGGUGGAGUAUGUGGUUUAAUUCGACGCAACGCGAAGAACCUUACCAAGACUUGACAUUGAUUGAAAGACUUAGAGAUAAGUUCCUUCUCUUCGGAGAACAAGAAAACAGGUGGUGCAUGGCUGUC
Molecule: ribosomal RNA, 853 nt
Filed under: uncultured bacterium
Lineage: Bacteria
Description: bacterial SSU rRNA
Rfam family: Bacterial small subunit ribosomal RNA
Source: RNAcentral